GAUGAACGCUGGCGGCGUGCCUAAUACAUGCAAGUCGAGCGAACAGACGAGGAGCUUGCUCCUCUGACGUUAGCGGCGGACGGGUGAGUAACACGUGGAUAACCUACCUAUAAGACUGGAAUAACUUCGGGAAACCGGAGCUAAUACCGGAUAAUAUAUUGAACAGCAUGGUUCAAUAGUGAAAGACGGUUUUGCUGUCACUUAUAGAUGGAUCCGCGCCGCAUUAGCUAGUUGGUAAGGUAACGGCUUACCAAGGCAACGAUGCGUAGCCGACCUGAGAGGGUGAUCGGCCACACUGGAACUGAGACACGGUCCAGACUCCUACGGGAGGCAGCAGUAGGGAAUCUUCCGCAAUGGGCGAAAGCUUGACGGAGCAACGCCGCGUGAGGGAUGAAGGUCUUCGGAUCGUAAAACUCUGUUAUUAGGGAAGAACAAAUGUGUAAGUAACUAUGCACGUCUUGACGGUACCUAAUCAGAAAGCCACGGCUAACUACGUG
This 497-nucleotide ribosomal RNA is filed under the name uncultured bacterium. Its description in RNAcentral is "partial 16S ribosomal RNA". It matches the Rfam family "Bacterial small subunit ribosomal RNA", at positions 28 to 507 of the family's 1533-position model. The record is from RNAcentral.